Molecule: ribosomal RNA, 275 nt
Filed under: uncultured bacterium
Lineage: Bacteria
Description: partial 16S ribosomal RNA
Rfam family: Bacterial small subunit ribosomal RNA
Source: RNAcentral
GCGUGCGUGAAGAAGGCCUUAGGGUUGUAAAGCGCUUUCACCGGUGAAGAUGAUGACGGUAGCCGGAGAAGAAGCCCCGGCUAACUCCGUGCCAGCAGCCGCGGUAAUACGGAGGGGGCAAGCGUUGUUCGGAAUGACUGGGCGUAAAGGGCGCGUAGGCGGAUGUGUAAGUUGGGGGUGAAAGGCCUGGGCUCAACCUGGGAACUGCCUCCAAAACUACACGUCUUGAGUUCGGAAGAGGAUGGCGGAAUUCCCAGUGUAGAGGUGAAAUUCGU